Molecule: ribosomal RNA, 441 nt
Filed under: uncultured bacterium
Lineage: Bacteria
Description: partial 16S ribosomal RNA
Rfam family: Bacterial small subunit ribosomal RNA
Source: RNAcentral
CCUACGGGAGGCUGCAGUGAGGAAUAUUGGUCAAUGGACGGAAGUCUGAACCAGCCAUGCAGCGUGCAGGAUGACGGCUCUCUGAGUUGUAAAAUGCUUUUGUUAGAGAAGAUCAUGAAGGUAUCUCCCGACUAAGCACCUGCUAACUCCGUGAAAGCAGCCGCGGUAAUACGGAGGGGGCAAGCGUUAUUCGGAAUCACUGGGCGUAAAGAGCGCGUAGGAGGGCUAGCAAGUCAGAUGUGAAAUCCUAUGGCUUAACCAUAGAACUGCAUUUGAAACUGGUAUUCUAGAGUAUGGUAGAGGUAGGUGGAAUUCGUGGUGUAGGGGUAAAAUCCGUAGAGAUCAAGAGGAAUACUCAUUGCGAAGGCGACCUGCUAGAACAUGACUGACGCUGAUGCUCGAAAGCGUGGGGAGCAAACAGGAUUAGAUACCCGAGUAGUC